Camelina sativa (false flax) is the source of this 1137-nucleotide long non-coding RNA. RefSeq lists it as uncharacterized. NCBI's taxonomy places the organism in Eukaryota, Viridiplantae, Streptophyta, Magnoliopsida, Brassicales, Brassicaceae. The record is from RefSeq and is a predicted model, not a curated record.
AACGCCGAAAACGAUCGAUCUCUCGUUGAACAACGACCAUGACCAUUUCCAUUUCUCUUUGAAGAAGACUCUCUCUCUCUCUGGAUCCUCAAAAUCCCUAAUUCCUUCAUCCUUCUCAUGGAUUCUCAAUCGUUUUCGCAUCAAUUGGGUUGCAUCGGAUCCCCGAUUGGAUUUGAUGAAUCAGUCGUGGAGACGCGACUGACUGGCUCAGACUCUGGUCCAGGAGCUUGGACUUUGAUUAUGUAACAUAGAGAUGAGAUCAACAAUUCAUCGGAUGCACCUGCUCAACCAAAACCAGUCCUUUUCCGUGUACCACUUCAAGUUCUGUGACAUCAUUAUCUCAAAGGUCAACUUGUAGUAGUCCUAUUCGAAGCUACUACUAAAUUCAGAUUUUUGAAGAAGAAGAAGAUUCAGAGAGGGUCAGUUAUGUGUUGAACGUAAACCAAAGGAAGAGAAUCUGGAGAUCUGUGGAUAUAUUCAAAACGGCCUUUGAAUGCUUGAUCUUGAGAUGAUUUGUUAACCCGAAACUGUUGUUACUCUCUAGUACACAUUAGUAAAGAGUUCCAUCUACAUUGCCAUUUAUUGAUUAGAGUUGGAAAUCCGUAAUUUUUUUUCCUGAAUGUACCAGCGAGCGAGUACUGCACCAUGCAGACCUGCAUUACAUAUCAUUUCGUGUAUAACAUACAUGUUCUUAAUCCCAAUAUGUUCCUCCAGCAUCUUUGGAGCUCUCUAGGUUUCUGCACUUGAGGUUAGGCAACUGUCCAGAGAGGGAGGAGUUGGGUUGAUAAGUUGUUUGCAUCUGUCGAUGGCGUAGAUUAUGCAGGUCUUUUGGUUUUAGGAAACUUCUGAUGACACUUUAGAUACUAAUUUUCGAGAGUUGAGCUUUGUUGCUUCAAUUCCAACUGCACCUAGGUUCUGUCUUCAAAGAGUCUUUUUUGCUUUCUCCAGAAUUGAUUACAGGGUACUUUCCUUGAGCCUCUAUCCUGAGCUGCAAAUGUCGCUAUAGCUAUACCUGGCUCAGUUUCAACUUUUUUUUUUAAGCUAAAUGCUUAGUUCUUCUCUCUGUUUCUAUAUAGUUCUUCUAGCCUCUAUUGCUGCUUUAGGCUUAUGAUUUUCACUGAUUAAUGUGUUUCUACA